Molecule: ribosomal RNA, 447 nt
Filed under: Salmonella enterica subsp. enterica serovar Enteritidis
Lineage: Bacteria; Pseudomonadati; Pseudomonadota; Gammaproteobacteria; Enterobacterales; Enterobacteriaceae
Description: partial 23S ribosomal RNA
Rfam family: Bacterial large subunit ribosomal RNA
Source: RNAcentral
ACCGGCGAUACCCGAAUGGGGAAACCCAGUGUGAUUCGUCACACUAUCAUUAACUGAAUCCAUAGGUUAAUGAGGCGAACCGGGGGAACUGAAACAUCUAAGUACCCCGAGGAAAAGAAAUCAACCGAGAUUCCCCCAGUAGCGGCGAGCGAACGGGGAGGAGCCCAGAGCCUGAAUCAGCAUGUGUGUUAGUGGAAGCGUCUGGAAAGGCGCGCGAUACAGGGUGACAGCCCCGUACACAAAAGCGCAUGUGCUGUGAGCUCGAUGAGUAGGGCGGGACACGUGGUAUCCUGUCUGAAUAUGGGGGGACCAUCCUCCAAGGCUAAAUACUCCUGACUGACCGAUAGUGAACCAGUACCGUGAGGGAAAGGCGAAAAGAACCCCGGCGAGGGGAGUGAAAAAGAACCUGAAACCGUGUACGUACAAGCAGUGGGAGCACCCUUUGGG